AAAGCAAGGUCUGGAGAGGGAACGUGGCUUGCCCAAGAUAUGUUUCAAACUUUGAUGAAAAGCAGGGAAGUUUGGGAAGAAAAUCCAAGACUUCUCUGGAGAGAGACCAGGAAACAGGCUCAGAGAGAAGAAGGGAAUUAUGUACCUCGGUUUAGAGCCAAAGUGUCCUGCCUGCAUUCCAGCUGUUUCCAUCCAUGUCCAUGUCAACUGGCAUCUGGAACUACUCGUAGCAGCAUCCACUCAAUAUACCAGCCUGGAAGACAACGGAGCUGUCAUUCUGUUAAAAAAUUAAGAGAAGUACGCAGAACCUGCCUUUUUCUAAAUGAGAAGCUUUGGAAGCGACUGGACACUUUUGGCCAUUGCAGUCCACAGAUUAUAAAUGUCAUGAAGACAGGGGCUGUGUCUGUCUUAUUCACCUAACUAACCACAGCAACUCACACCAUGCCAUGGAAGGCACUCAAAAAUUUUAUGUUGAAGCGAUAAGUGGAUGGCAAAGGCACCCCAAUUUUCAGGAUUGAUUUCCUCCAACUGUAAUUAGUCACUGAGCAAAACAGCCCAGGCUGGAGUGCAGUGGUAGGAUUAUGGCUCACUGCAGCCUCGACAUCCUGGACUUAAGUGAUCCUCUCAUCACAACCUCUGGAAUAGCUGCAACUACAGAAGGUUACCUGGAGACUUUGGCAAGAGCCACAGCAGUUCCUAAAAGGAAAAGAAACCUCAAAGGAGAAUGUUAAUCUCCCCGAUCAGGAAGCAUCUCUGCUCACACCACGACUGAAUGGACACGUGAAUCUAGCACAUACAGUCGGAGGCCCGCAGAACCGGGAUGGUCAUGUAUCCCAGCCUAUGCCAGUUGUCCCAGCAUCAGUGUUACUAGCAUUAUCUUCCACUCUCAAAAGUGUUCCAGUUUGAACCCUAAAUGAUAUGGUCACCUCCACAGAACUGGAGCAGGGAGGGUCUUGGGUGUUCAUCUUUCCCACCAAUCUUAUCUCCUACAAGUGAGAUGGGUGUCCAGGGAGGAUCUGCCCAGGUUUAUGCUUUUGAUUUCCCCCUCCCUCUGCAGCCCUUCCCAUGCCCUCCUGUCUCCGUGAGGGAGGGAGGACCACCCGCGCAUCCUGCACGCCAGGCCCAUAUUGACGCCUGAUGCUUUUGCCUCCAUUCAGAUCUCGUCUUUCUGUGAACCUGAGGCUCAUUUCAAUUUUUCAAGGCAGGACCACAACAAGCUCUGCAUCUGCCUGCACACAAAGCCGAAAUCACAGUGCUUGGGUGGUGGGGACCCUUUUCCCUGAAAAAGAAGAAGUCAGAUCAUUUCUUAAGGUCUCUCCCAGCCUUAGAACCUGUGAUUCAUAAGAAACUGGCUGAAGCUUUUGGUUUGUCAAUAUACUCAUGAACCAAUUUACCAGAGUGGUUGCCAUCCAUUUCUUUGAAAAAAUUAGCACCUUGUGAAUUUUCAUUAGAUGAAUGAGAGUACCUAUCUUACAUAUCAGAGAUGUUUAUUAUAUAGUAAUAAUAAAGGUAGCUAAGAACUUACAUUGUAUUUACAAAAUGCCAGGCACUGUACUAAGCACAUUACAUAUAUUGGUCCUUAUAACAAUCCUAUAAGGUAGGUACAAUGAAUACCUCCCCAUUGAACAGGUAGGUAAAUCAAGGUACAGAAUUGUUAUGUCACGCAGCUAGAAUGCAAGCAAGUGGAACAUGAACUCAGGCAGUCUGGCUCCGGAGUUGGCCUUUUCACCACCCUGCUAUCCAGUUUCUCCAAAUAUCUAUGUAAAUAUAUGUUCAGCAUUCCUAACCGAAAUAAUCAGCAGGCCAGUCAAAUCUCAGCUGUAAAACACUUGAAGUUCACAGAGCAAGUCACUAUUUACAUCUAGGAGGGCAUUUCACCUCCGCUUUAUAGACCCCUUUACCGAUAUCACUCAGCAUUGUAAAACAACAGGUGUGUUGAGGUGCUCUGUCAAAACAGGUGUUUCUGUGUGCUGUGUUUACACUUAUUUAACCCAGGGUGUCUGGGCACAAUUGCUAUUUAUUUCUUAGUUAUACGGAAUCUUCCACAGGGAGCUCGUAUGAAAAGAGGUGUGAGGUGGGAAAAGAGGUGAGCAGCGGCCCUACCUCAGGACCUUUGGCUGGGCUUGUACACUACCCCGGCGACUGCUCACUGGACUCACCUGUCCCAGGCAUCCUCCACACUUUCUUUUCCAGUCUUCCAGAAGGACCAGUGAUCUGCCUACUGGCCUUUUUUCCCCUUCCAUCUGCUUCCCAGCAGUGGAACCUGCCUGCUUAAAUCUUACUUAUUAACUAUACAUAGAUAUGGCAGACUGCGAUUACAGUAGAAUUGUUUGGGAGCUCAGUAUCUUGCCUCUUCCCACGUACCUUACCCUGGGAAUUGCUUUGUACUUGCAUAUUGCCAUGUGGUGGUGUGUCUUUAAUAACCAUCAAUAAAGAUAGGCCUGGGAAAACACAGACAGCCACAGACUCCUCUAAAUUCACCUGACUGCACAGAACAGAGCUGUCUGGAGAGGUAUCCCGGCUACCCAGAGGUGGUCACCAGGAGUGGUCAAAGUAAACCCACCCCCUUUGAUUCAGCAGCCAGAGAGAAUUUAGAAGAAUAGGCUCACCCUCUGAGGGUUCCUUGAAUCCAAUAAAACCUGUUCUUAAGUCUGAGUUCAUUUAUGGAUUUAUUCUCCAAAUAUUUGAGAGUGACGGUUCUGUGAAAAGUAUUCGCCUAAUACCACGAGGUGUUUCAUAGCUUCUUUAUCAGAAAAGCAAUAGAGAUCAAGGAUGUGGGAAGGAAGGGGAAUUUUUUUUUUGAGACAGGGUCUAGCUCUGUCAUCUAGGCUGGAGUGCAGUGGCACGAUCUUGGCUCACUGCAGCCUUCACCUCCCAGGUUCAAGUGAU
Molecule: long non-coding RNA, 2889 nt
Filed under: Homo sapiens (human)
Lineage: Eukaryota; Metazoa; Chordata; Mammalia; Primates; Hominidae
Description: HSALNT0066654
Source: RNAcentral